CCGGACAGAAGGUCAGCCCAUAGAUG
This 26-nucleotide non-coding RNA is filed under the name Mus musculus (house mouse). Lineage: Eukaryota; Metazoa; Chordata; Mammalia; Rodentia; Muridae. The record is from RNAcentral.